Molecule: ribosomal RNA, 425 nt
Filed under: uncultured bacterium
Lineage: Bacteria
Description: bacterial SSU rRNA
Rfam family: Bacterial small subunit ribosomal RNA
Source: RNAcentral
AUUUUGGGCAAUGGCCGAAAGGCUGACCCAGCGACGCCGCGUGUGGGAGGAAGCUCUUCGGGGUGUAAACCACUGUCAGAGGGGACGAAUGUCGGUGUGGGGAAUACGCAUGCCGGGUGACGGUACCCUCAAAGGAAGCACCGGCUAACUCUGUGCCAGCAGCCGCGGUAAUACAGAGGGUGCGAGCGUUGUUCGGAAUCACUGGGCGUAAAGCGCGCGCAGGCGGAUCUUGCAAGUCUGAAGUGAAAUCUCGUCGCUCAACGACGAGGCUGCUUUGGAAACUGCAGGUCUGGAGAUCGGUAGAGGCUGGUAGAAUUGCAGGUGUAGCGGUGGAAUGCGUAGAGAUCUGCAAGAAUACCCGUGGCGAAGGCGGCCAGCUGGGCCGAAUCUGACGCUGAGGCGCGAAAGCGUGGGGAGCAAACAGG